Lathyrus oleraceus (garden pea) is the source of this 1437-nucleotide long non-coding RNA. RefSeq lists it as uncharacterized. The transcript is spliced from 3 exons. The record is from RefSeq and is a predicted model, not a curated record. Lineage: Eukaryota; Viridiplantae; Streptophyta; Magnoliopsida; Fabales; Fabaceae.
UUCACACUAUCCACCUCACUAUGCUUCCGCCGUGAAACACCGCGCCGGCUUCCGUCGCCGGCGCCAGUAGUGGCCUAACACUAAGAUAUUACCACCACUCGAUGCACCAUGAUAAGCUAAAAACGAAUAUGGGACUGGAUUUGGGAGAUGGUUCUCGGAUUUAUUGAAUCGAGCCUAAACAAUGGAAGAACCCUAGAUCUCUAAUCUUAAAUUAAAUGGAGUGCAUCACGAAUUAAUCUCUAAUACCAAAGGACUUUCACUCCCUAGCCUCAAAGCUACACUCCAGUAUGCUUAAUGUAAGAGAACGUUACAGAAGGUAGAUGGACUUACCGGAGAAGAUGAUCAGAAACUUCAAAAGGGUCUAUGUCGUGGAGCGUCGGUACCUGGAACUGCCUGAUUAUUGACAUGAUUUUCAUCUGUUCGUAGGUUGUGUUCCUGGUACGCACAUGAGCAACACGGUGUUUGUAUCCUAGAAACAUUGGUUAGGAAGUUGGCAUCCGCCGUAAUCCUGGCAGCAUCACAUACUUCACACUUGUUAUUCACAUACGUUUUCUUGGUAAGAGUUCAGAUCUGAAGCAGCUCAGGUGUAUACUCUCUUCUUACCAACCAGAACAACUCCAUACUUGGAACAACUUCAUGUUGCAAUGCCGGGUGUGUUACUUGAGAGUUUGACGAGCUGAUUGGGUUUCUGCCGGAUGUCGAAUUGUCGCUGAGUAGUAGCUAGCAGCUGGUUUGAUGCCGAACUGCAGUAAAUUGGAUAGAAGCUGGACUGGCCAAACUGGAGUAAGCUUUGAUGUUGAAUUCUUGGUGUUGGCGCUGCGACCGAUGUCGGGAAUUGCCCAAAAUCGGCUGGCACAUGAACCAAGUUAUGGUUGCAGAAGCAAAUCUCUGCAAUACCAAUCUGACUUCCGUAAUAAGAUGUCCUCACCUAUCCAUCGUUGUCCUGAACUACCGUGGCAUCGAGAAAUUAAGUCCAGGAGAUGGUUCACAGGGAAGUUGACAUACCGUGGUAAUGGUCAUGACAUUAAGCGACUCUCAACGUUGAAGUAAUAUGUCGGGGUUCACAGUUUAGCCUAUUCUACAGUAUUGCUUCUCCAUCAUCAAAAGAGAAUGCCGUUUUUCAUUAUAUGCUCCAAAUACAUGGCUUAAACUCCAUCAUUCCAAAUGUAAUAUUCCAUUAUUUUAGAAUAUACUACAUGAGUCCCAGCGGUCAAAACUUAGGAUUAAUAGUACCUUUUGGUUGGUGCUUUGUUCUCUUUCUAUUGCAACUUUGGAACAUGGUAUCUUGGCUCGCAGCUCGGCUUAGUUUUGAUGUCGGCAUUUUCAGCUUGCGUUCAGUUUAGGAUGUCCAUAACACGCACAACUGCUCUUCCUUUCUUUUCUUUGUUUUCUUUUGAGAAUCCGUUUUAGUGGAAGGUAAUGCAACAAUGUCUGAAA